Non-coding RNA from Mycena rebaudengoi, 93 nucleotides. The record is from the annotation of a GenBank genome assembly. Lineage: Eukaryota; Fungi; Basidiomycota; Agaricomycetes; Agaricales; Mycenaceae.
GGCUCAGUGGCGGAGUGGUUCGCAUCUGCACUUUGUUCCCACAAAAAGUGGUAGAGUUUGCAGAAGACGCUUGUUCGAAUCAAGCCUGAGCCU